This 774-nucleotide ribosomal RNA is filed under the name Priestia megaterium. Its description in RNAcentral is "bacterial SSU rRNA". It matches the Rfam family "Bacterial small subunit ribosomal RNA", at positions 33 to 788 of the family's 1533-position model. Lineage: Bacteria; Bacillati; Bacillota; Bacilli; Caryophanales; Bacillaceae. The record is from RNAcentral.
ACGCUGGCGGCGUGCCUAAUACAUGCAAGUCGAGCGAACUGAUUAGAAGCUUGCUUCUAUGACGUUAGCGGCGGACGGGUGAGUAACACGUGGGCAACCUGCCUGUAAGACUGGGAUAACUUCGGGAAACCGAAGCUAAUACCGGAUAGGAUCUUCUCCUUCAUGGGAGAUGAUUGAAAGAUGGUUUCGGCUAUCACUUACAGAUGGGCCCGCGGUGCAUUAGCUAGUUGGUGAGGUAACGGCUCACCAAGGCAACGAUGCAUAGCCGACCUGAGAGGGUGAUCGGCCACACUGGGACUGAGACACGGCCCAGACUCCUACGGGAGGCAGCAGUAGGGAAUCUUCCGCAAUGGACGAAAGUCUGACGGAGCAACGCCGCGUGAGUGAUGAAGGCUUUCGGGUCGUAAAACUCUGUUGUUAGGGAAGAACAAGUACGAGAGUAACUGCUCGUACCUUGACGGUACCUAACCAGAAAGCCACGGCUAACUACGUGCCAGCAGCCGCGGUAAUACGUAGGUGGCAAGCGUUAUCCGGAAUUAUUGGGCGUAAAGCGCGCGCAGGCGGUUUCUUAAGUCUGAUGUGAAAGCCCACGGCUCAACCGUGGAGGGUCAUUGGAAACUGGGGAACUUGAGUGCAGAAGAGAAAAGCGGAAUUCCACGUGUAGCGGUGAAAUGCGUAGAGAUGUGGAGGAACACCAGUGGCGAAGGCGGCUUUUUGGUCUGUAACUGACGCUGAGGCGCGAAAGCGUGGGGAGCAAACAGGAUUAGAUACCCU